GAGUUUGAUCAUGGCUCAGAUUGAACGCUGGCGGCAGGCCUAACACAUGCAAGUCGAGCGGUAACAGAGAGUNGCUUGNNACUUUGCUGACGAGCGGCGGACGGGUGAGUAAUGCUUGGGAACAUGCCUUGAGGUGGGGGACAACAGUUGGAAACGACUGCUAAUACCGCAUAAUGUCUACGGACCAAAGGGGGCUUCGGCUCUCGCCUUUAGAUUGGCCCAAGUGGGAUUAGCUAGUUGGUGAGGUAAUGGCUCACCAAGGCAACGAUCCCUAGCUGGUUUGAGAGGAUGAUCAGCCACACUGGGACUGAGACACGGCCCAGACUCCUACGGGAGGCAGCAGUGGGGAAUAUUGCACAAUGGGCGCAAGCCUGAUGCAGCCAUGCCGCGUGUGUGAAGAAGGCCUUCGGGUUGUAAAGCACUUUCAGUCAGGAGGAAAGGUUAGUAGUUAAUACCUGCUAGCUGUGACGUUACUGACAGAAGAAGCACCGGCUAACUCCGUGCC
This 505-nucleotide ribosomal RNA is filed under the name Pseudoalteromonas atlantica. RNAcentral's name for it is "bacterial SSU rRNA". It matches the Rfam family "Bacterial small subunit ribosomal RNA", at positions 9 to 509 of the family's 1533-position model. Lineage: Bacteria; Pseudomonadati; Pseudomonadota; Gammaproteobacteria; Alteromonadales; Pseudoalteromonadaceae. The record is from RNAcentral.